AUGCUCACUUCAGCAGCAUAUAUACUAAAAUUGGAAUGAUACAGAGAAGAUUAGCAUGAUCCCUGUGUAAGGAUGACACACAAAUUCAUGAAGCAUUCCAUAUUUUU
Molecule: small nuclear RNA, 107 nt
Organism: Pan paniscus (pygmy chimpanzee)
Lineage: Eukaryota; Metazoa; Chordata; Mammalia; Primates; Hominidae
Source: Ensembl